UACGUAGGGGGCAAGCGUUGUCCGGAUUUAUUGGGCGUAAAGAGCGUGUAGGCGGCCAUACAGGUCAGCUGUGAAAACUCGAGGCUCAACCUCGAGACGUCGGUUGAAACCGUAUGGCUAGAGUCCGGAAGAGGAGAGUGGAAUUCCCGGUGUAGCGGUGAAAUGCGCAGAUAUCGGGAAGAACACCAGUGGCGAAGGCGGCUCACUGGCCCGAUACUGACGCUGAGGCACGAAAGCGUGGGGAGCAAACAGG
This 253-nucleotide ribosomal RNA is filed under the name uncultured bacterium. RNAcentral's name for it is "partial 16S ribosomal RNA". It matches the Rfam family "Bacterial small subunit ribosomal RNA", at positions 524 to 776 of the family's 1533-position model. The record is from RNAcentral.